UUAAGCGACUAAGCGUACACGGUGGAUGCCCUGGCAGUCAGAGGCGAUGAAGGGCGUGCUAAUCUGCGAUAAGCGCCGGUAAGGUGAUAUGAACCGUUAUAACCGGCGAUACCCGAAUGGGGAAACCCAGUGUGAUUCGUCACACUAUCAUUAACUGAAUCCAUAGGUUAAUGAGGCGAACCGGGGGAACUGAAACAUCUAAGUACCCCGAGGAAAAGAAAUCAACCGAGAUUCCCCCAGUAGCGGCGAGCGAACGGGGAGGAGCCCAGAGCCUGAAUCAGCAUGUGUGUUAGUGGAAGCGUCUGGAAAGGCGCGCGAUACAGGGUGACAGCCCCGUACACAAAAGCGCAUGUGCUGUGAGCUCGAUGAGUAGGGCGGGACACGUGGUAUCCUGUCUGAAUAUGGGGGGACCAUCCUCCAAGGCUAAAUACUCCUGACUGACCGAUAGUGAACCAGUACCGUGAGGGAAAGGCGAAAAGAACCCCGGCGAGGGGAGUGAAAAAGAACCUGAAACCGUGUACGUACAAGCAGUGGGAGCCCCACCACUAAGCCAGUGGUGAACUCCACAUACGCAUCCUUUGCUGAGGAUACGGUUAACGGAGCGAAAGCGACGUUCAACCUCAAAAGAAGCAGAGGGGGCUUAGUGGUGGGGUGACUGCGUACCUUUUGUAUAAUGGGUCAGCGACUUAUAUUCUGUAGCAAGGUUAACCGAAUAGGGGAGCCGGAGGGAAACCGAGUCUUAAUUGGGCGUUAAGUUGCAGGGUAUAGACCCGAAACCCGGUGAUCUAGCCAUGGGCAGGUUGAAGGUUGGGUAACACUAACUGGAGGACCGAACCGACUAAUGUUGAAAAAUUAGCGGAUGACCUGUGGCUGGGGGUGAAAGGCCAAUCAAACCGGGAGAUAGCUGGUUCUCCCCGAAAGCUAUUUAGGUAGCGCCUCGUGAACUCAUCUCCGGGGGUAGAGCACUGUUUCGGCUAGGGGGCCAUCCCGGCUUACCAACCCGAUGCAAACUGCGAAUACCGGAGAAUGUUAUCACGGGAGACACACGGCGGGUGCUAACGUCCGUCGUGAAGAGGGAAACAACCCAGACCGCCAGCUAAGGUCCCAAAGUCAUGGUUAAGUGGGAAACGAUGUGGGAAGGCCCAGACAGCCAGGAUGUUGGCUUAGAAGCAGCCAUCAUUUAAAGAAAGCGUAAUAGCUCACUGGUCGAGUCGGCCUGCGCGGAAGAUGUAACGGGGCUAAACCAUGCACCGAAGCUGCGGCAGCGAACGUAUCACCCAAGACAACUUUACGGAGUUGACGAUUGACGGAGCGAAGCGACGUCAAAGCGUUCAUUAAAGUCGAGUUGGCUUAGGGAUACGUUCGUUGGGUAGGGGAGCGUUCUGUAAGCCUGUGAAGGUGGCCUGUGAGGGUUGCUGGAGGUAUCAGAAGUGCGAAUGCUGACAUAAGUAACGAUAAAGCGGGUGAAAAGCCCGCUCGCCGGAAGACCAAGGGUUCCUGUCCAACGUUAAUCGGGGCAGGGUGAGUCGACCCCUAAGGCGAGGCCGAAAGGCGUAGUCGAUGGGAAACGGGUUAAUAUUCCCGUACUUGGUGUUACUGCGAAGGGGGGACGGAGAAGGCUAUGUUGGCCGGGCGACGGUUGUCCCGGUUUAAGCGUGUAGGCUGGUUUUCCAGGCAAAUCCGGAAAAUCAAGGCUGAGGCGUGACGACGAGGCACUACGGUGCUGAAGCAACAAAUGCCCUGCUUCCAGGAAAAGCCUCUAAGCAUCAGGUAACAUCAAAUCGUACCCCAAACCGACACAGGUGGUCAGGUAGAGAAUACCAAGGCGCUUGAGAGAACUCGGGUGAAGGAACUAGGCAAAAUGGUGCCGUAACUUCGGGAGAAGGCACGCUGACAUGUAGGUGAAGUGAUUUACUCAUGGAGCUGAAGUCAGUCGAAGAUACCAGCUGGCUGCAACUGUUUAUUAAAAACACAGCACUGUGCAAACACGAAAGUGGACGUAUACGGUGUGACGCCUGCCCGGUGCCGGAAGGUUAAUUGAUGGGGUCAGCGCAAGCGAAGCUCCUGAUCGAAGCCCCGGUAAACGGCGGCCGUAACUAUAACGGUCCUAAGGUAGCGAAAUUCCUUGUCGGGUAAGUUCCGACCUGCACGAAUGGCGUAAUGAUGGCCAGGCUGUCUCCACCCGAGACUCAGUGAAAUUGAACUCGCUGUGAAGAUGCAGUGUACCCGCGGCAAGACGGAAAGACCCCGUGAACCUUUACUAUAGCUUGACACUGAACAUUGAGCCUUGAUGUGUAGGAUAGGUGGGAGGCUUUGAAGUGUGGACGCCAGUCUGCAUGGAGCCGACCUUGAAAUACCACCCUUUAAUGUUUGAUGUUCUAACGUGGACCCGUUACCCGGGUUGCGGACAGUGUCUGGUGGGUAGUUUGACUGGGGCGGUCUCCUCCUAAAGAGUAACGGAGGAGCACGAAGGUUGGCUAAUCCUGGUCGGACAUCAGGAGGUUAGUGCAAUGGCAUAAGCCAGCUUGACUGCGAGCGUGACGGCGCGAGCAGGUGCGAAAGCAGGUCAUAGUGAUCCGGUGGUUCUGAAUGGAAGGGCCAUCGCUCAACGGAUAAAAGGUACUCCGGGGAUAACAGGCUGAUACCGCCCAAGAGUUCAUAUCGACGGCGGUGUUUGGCACCUCGAUGUCGGCUCAUCACAUCCUGGGGCUGAAGUAGGUCCCAAGGGUAUGGCUGUUCGCCAUUUAAAGUGGUACGCGAGCUGGGUUUAGAACGUCGUGAGACAGUUCGGUCCCUAUCUGCCGUGGGCGCUGGAGAACUGAGGGGGGCUGCUCCUAGUACGAGAGGACCGGAGUGGACGCAUCACUGGUGUUCGGGUUGUCAUGCCAAUGGCACUGCCCGGUAGCUAAAUGCGGAAGAGAUAAGUGCUGAAAGCAUCUAAGCACGAAACUUGCCCCGAGAUGAGUUCUCCCUGAGACUUAGAGUCUCCUGAAGGAACGUUGAAGACGACGACGUUGAUAGGCCGGGUGUGUAAGCGCAGCGAUGCGUUGAGCUAACCGGUACUAAUGAACCGUGAGGCUUAACCUU
This 3087-nucleotide ribosomal RNA is filed under the name Salmonella enterica subsp. enterica serovar Typhimurium. RNAcentral describes it as "bacterial LSU rRNA". It matches the Rfam family "Bacterial large subunit ribosomal RNA". The record is from RNAcentral. Lineage: Bacteria; Pseudomonadati; Pseudomonadota; Gammaproteobacteria; Enterobacterales; Enterobacteriaceae.